UUGACCAGAAACUUUUCGAGGGACGCGGCGUUGACGCAGCUCUGGCCCAGAAACUCCUGCUUCAGGGCUUCCAUGUCAUGUCGCAGCUUGUCCUCCACCGGCCGCUCGAUGCUGGAGAAAACCAGCGCUCCGAACAGCAGGGGCUGUCCUAAUUGAACUUGAACCCCUCCUUGUCACCGCAUCCUCCUCCCACAGUAGAAGCAGGAGGGUGUGUUCAGCUGAGUCCUGUUGUGCAUCCUGGUCCUGGAUCCUGGAAAAGUCUCAAGGUGCGCUUAUGGAGUUAUCUCAAGACCCUUUCCCCCAAGACCACAUGUAUUUUUUUUUUUAAGUUUUGGAAAGGUUUGAGGGUGUUUUGAAUACAUACAUGAAACAUAAUUCUUCAAUAAAUAAGAUGUUUAACUGUU
Molecule: long non-coding RNA, 404 nt
Organism: Seriola aureovittata
Lineage: Eukaryota; Metazoa; Chordata; Actinopteri; Carangiformes; Carangidae
Exons: 2
Source: RefSeq, a predicted model, not a curated record